UGUUGAUGCUGCAUUAAACAAAAUGAUUCCUUAUUGACGUAACUGAUUGAGUCGAUAGCAAGAAUGUCGAUUAUAGUACCUAUUAGUCAAAGAGGUAUCCAUCAAAUAGAGACGUAUCACAAAUUGACCCCAUUUCCCUAAUCAAAUAAAUUAAGGCAGUGGAUUGUGAAUCCACCGUGAACAGAUCCAAUUCUGUCAUUUGCCCAUAAGUAAAAUGAUAUUGUCCUCCUAUCUAUUUUUUGGAAUUUUGUUAGAACAAAGAAGAAAUUCUAAAUUCUUAAGGAGAAAGCAUUAUCACGUUGGCUGCAGCCAUGGCACAAAUGGGGAAGUUCUUAAGCAUUAUCAGAUAUGCUAUAUAUUUGUUUAUAUGAUCUGAAAAUCAGAAUUAGCUCAGAUUCUUUCGACCUUUUUUUUUAGUAGAUCUUACUUUCCUUCCUUGUCCUAUUCUGAAACUAGAACACCGCAUUCCAUUUUCUNGAUUCUUUCGACCUUUUUUUUUAGUAGAUCUUACUUUCCUUCCUUGUCCUAUUCUGAAACUAGAACACCGCAUUCCAUUUUCUUCUUUACUUUCAGUUCGUCCCUAUUGACGUCAACAGGGCAAUCACCAUCCUUGAUAACAAUAAUCCAUGAGCAUAUGACUAAGAGGCAGAAGACCUUAAACAGAGAAAAAGUAGUAGUGCAUUAGUAGGGAAUAAAGAAGUUCAUCCUCCCCACCUUCAUGAGGGGAUCGCGCUCUCUGUUCAAC
RNAcentral lists this long non-coding RNA (745 nucleotides) under Olea europaea (common olive). RNAcentral's name for it is "long non-coding RNA (OEUR_LNC003011)". Lineage: Eukaryota; Viridiplantae; Streptophyta; Magnoliopsida; Lamiales; Oleaceae. The record is from RNAcentral.